This is a long non-coding RNA of Oncorhynchus tshawytscha (Chinook salmon), 707 nucleotides long. NCBI's taxonomy places the organism in Eukaryota, Metazoa, Chordata, Actinopteri, Salmoniformes, Salmonidae. The record is from Ensembl.
AGGCAGACAGACUGGGAUGACCAACACUGGUAGGUAGAGAGACUGGGAUGACCAACACUGGUAGGUAGAGAGACUGGGAUGACCAACACUGGUAGGUAGAGUGACUGGGAUGACCAACACUGGUAGGUAGAGAGACUGGGAUGACCAACACUGGUAGGUAGAGACAGACUGGGAUGACCAACACUGGUAGGUAGAGACAGACUGGGAUGACCAACACUGGUAGGUAGAGACAGACUGGGAUGACCAACACUGGUAGGUAGAGACAGACUGGGAUGACCAACACUGGUAGGUAGAGACAGACUGGGAUGACCAACACUGGUAGGCAGAGAGACUGGGAUGGCCAACACUGGUAGGUAGAGAGACUGGGAUGACCAACACUGGUAGGUAGAGAGACUGGGAUGACCAACACUGGUAGGUAGAGACAGACUGGGAUGACCAACACUGGUAGGUAGAGACAGACUGGGAUGACCAACACUGGUAGGUAGAGACAGACUGGGAUGACCAACACUGGUAGGCAGACAGACUGGGAUGACCAACACUGGUAGGUAGAGACAGACUGGAUGACCAACACUGGUAGCUUGGCAUGUAAAGGCGAGGAAGAUGCCAAUGCCACUACAGUAUAUCUCCAUGGAAGUAUGAACCCCCAUAGCUAGCUACAGUUGGGCUCAAUUCCAUUUCAAUUCCAGUCAAUUCAGGAAGUAAAAGUA